AUGAAUAAGUACUGUACCUUCUACAGAGUGCAGAGGAGUAGCAGCAAUAGCAGCACGGGCAGGAUCAGAAGAGGAGAAGCAGCACGGGCAGGGUCAGAGGAGCAGCAGCAGCACGGGCAGGGGAGAGGGAGCAGCAGCAGCAGCACAGGCAGAUCUCCACCGGCGAGCUCCUGGUCCACCAGAUUGUCGAGGCAAGCUCCGGCGACGACAGUAGGGGAUCGCGGCGGCGCACGCGCGGGAGCUCCAGGAGGAUGCGCGGGAGCACGAGGGAGGACGCACGCGGGGGCUCCAGGAGGAUGCGCGGGGGCUCCAGGAGGGAAGCGCGCGGCCUCGAGGAAGACGUGGCAGGAGAUUCCGGCGAAGCCCGCAGGCAGCGGGAGGAGACCACGGCGGCGCAGGUCUGGGCUGCGGCGGCAGAGGAGGUAA
This 426-nucleotide ribosomal RNA is filed under the name Triticum aestivum (bread wheat). Its description in RNAcentral is "partial small subunit ribosomal RNA". Lineage: Eukaryota; Viridiplantae; Streptophyta; Magnoliopsida; Poales; Poaceae. The record is from RNAcentral.